RNAcentral lists this ribosomal RNA (253 nucleotides) under uncultured bacterium. RNAcentral describes it as "partial 16S ribosomal RNA". It matches the Rfam family "Bacterial small subunit ribosomal RNA", at positions 524 to 776 of the family's 1533-position model. The record is from RNAcentral.
UACGGAGGGGGCUAGCGUUGUUCGGAAUUACUGGGCGUAAAGCGCACGUAGGCGGACCAGAAAGUUGGGGGUGAAAUCCCGGGGCUCGACCUCGGAACUGCCUUCAAAACUAUUGGUCUGGAGUUCGAGAGAGGUGAGUGGAAUUCCGAGUGUAGAGGUGAAAUUCGUAGAUAUUCGGAGGAACACCAGUGGCGAAGGCGGCUCACUGGCCCGAUACUGACGCUGAGGUGCGAAAGCGUGGGGAGCAAACAGG